UACGGAGGGAGCUAGCGUUGUUCGGAAUUACUGGGCGUAAAGCGCACGUAGGCGGCUUUUUAAGUCAGGGGUGAAAUCCCGGGGCUCAACCCCGGAACUGCCCUUGAAACUGGAGAGCUAGAAUCUUGGAGAGGCGAGUGGAAUUCCGAGUGUAGAGGUGAAAUUCGUAGAUAUUCGGAAGAACACCAGUGGCGAAGGCGACUCGCUGGACAAGUAUUGGCGCUGAGGUGCGAAAGCGUGGGGGAGCAAACAGG
This 254-nucleotide ribosomal RNA is filed under the name uncultured bacterium. RNAcentral describes it as "partial 16S ribosomal RNA". It matches the Rfam family "Bacterial small subunit ribosomal RNA", at positions 524 to 776 of the family's 1533-position model. The record is from RNAcentral.